Molecule: ribosomal RNA, 484 nt
Filed under: uncultured bacterium
Lineage: Bacteria
Description: partial 16S ribosomal RNA
Rfam family: Bacterial small subunit ribosomal RNA
Source: RNAcentral
AUUGAACGCUGGCGGAAUGCUUUACACAUGCAAGUCGAGCGGCAGCACGGGGGCAACCCUGGUGGCGAGCGGCGAACGGGUGAGUAAUACAUCGGAACAUGCCCAGUCGUGGGGGAUAACACUUCGAAAGAAGUGCUAAUACCGCAUACGUCCUGAGGGGGAAAGCGGGGGAUCGCAAGACCUCGCGCGAUUGGAGUGGCCGAUGUCAGAUUAGCUAGUUGGUGGGGUAAAGGCCUACCAAGGCAACGAUCUGUAGCUGGUCUGAGAGGAUGAUCUGCCACACUGGAACUGAGACACGGCCCAGACUCCUACGGGAGGCAGCAGUGGGGAAUUUUGGACAAUGGGGGCAACCCUGAUCCAGCCAUUCCGCGUGAGUGAAGAAGGCCUUCGGGUUGUAAAGCUCUUUCGGCAGGAACGAAACGGUGAGCUCUAACAUAGCUUGCUAAUGACGGUACCUGAAGAAGAAGCACCGGCUAACUACGUG